CCUACGGGUGGCAGCAGUGGGGGAUAUUGCACAAUGGGGGAAACCCUGAUGCAGCGACGCCGCGUGGGUGAAGAAGUAUUUCGGUAUGUAAAGCCCUAUCAGCAGGGAAGAAAGAAGACGGUACCUGACUAAGAAGCCCCGGCUAACUACGUGCCAGCAGCCGCGGUAAUACGUAGGGGGCGAGCGUUAUCCGGAUUCACUGGGUGUAAAGGGAGCGUAGACGGCCGUGCAAGCCAGGAGUGAAAGCCCGGGGCCCAACCCCGGGACUGCUCUUGGAACUGUGCGGCUGGAGUGCGGGAGGGGCAGGCGGAAUUCCUGGUGUAGCGGUGAAAUGCGUAGAUAUCAGGAGGAACACCGGCGGCGAAGGCGGCCUGCUGGACCGCGGCUGACGUUGAGGCUCGAAAGCGUGGGGAGCGAACAGGAUUAGAUACCCCAGUAGUC
Molecule: ribosomal RNA, 441 nt
Filed under: uncultured bacterium
Lineage: Bacteria
Description: partial 16S ribosomal RNA
Rfam family: Bacterial small subunit ribosomal RNA
Source: RNAcentral